GAACCUCUCGGAGUAACAAAACCAGACAGAAAACAGUAUCUAAUAACAGGGAGAAAUUCAUACUUGUGGUGUCUCUAUGCCAAAUAAAAAUUCAACUUUCUUAGCCCAACAAGAAAACUACAUUGUGAAAGGGUAGGUAAGAAGCUUUGAAAUAAUGGGAACAGUUGGCCUUCUGUUCAGCAGACUUGGUUAAUUUAUCCCAGCCAUCAGUGUUCCUGCAGAGAAACACAAGAGUCAAAGGCCACAGGUUUUACUGAGCAGCAACUUAUAGGCAGCACAGCAGGAAAAGACUGACAAAGGGAACAUCUGUGUAGCUGAAUUACCACAAGCUUGGGAAAGGAUGGAUUUAACCUUUAAAUAAAAAAUAAAUAAAAAUGCAAUUAGAUAACCCUUUGGCUACAGCUGUGUCUUAGGCAACACUGAACUUUCUCAGCUGGAGCAGAUAGCAUGCAUGGUUUUGGGAAUGCAAUUUAACUAGCGCAUCAGAUUUUAAAAUGUGAAGUUGACACUUACAGCAAGUACAGUGGUCAGUCCUUCACACCUCUGCUUGAAAAAAAAAUCCUUUGAAAACUUUAUCACCAGAAAUAACAUAUAGAUUGUGUCAGAGAUCUAAAUGAUCUCCAAGAAGGCAAAAGAGGUUCUCAGAGGAAAAACACAUUCCAACCAAUUACAGACAAGAAUACAGUUGCAGAAAUACGUACACUCAAGUCAAGAAUAGGUAAUGAAGACUGCAGAUGGCUCAGAUGUCAUUAUAUUCCUCCGAGAUCUGCCAUAUGUAAGGAUAGCAAGAACUGAAGAUCUUACCUGGCAACCUGUGUGCCUAUCAUUAUGUCCCCUUCCUUCAUGACCCUUCGACUGUAAGGUCUGUAACACAGGCAGAGAUGACUUACUGUAAACAACUUUUAAUGAUGUUCCACAUAUAGUAGUAGCACUGUCUGAUUCAGAAAGAGAUCAUAAAUAGUAAGCUGAUGAUCGCAAAGACUUUGCCAUUGUAAAGACAUAACUGGAUGUUCUCCAUAGCCAGCUACUUAGCAUUCCAUCUUGACCAAAUACUGGGCUAGAGCAUUGGUGAUAAAAUAGCGUGGUCCAUCACUACAAGAAGGUUGGGACUGCAAAGAACUAUCUCUGAUACUAGGGUCUACCAGGCUUCUCCAAACUACCCAAUCUCCCUGUGCUUGAACUAUCACCUAGUAAUGUGGGCAUAUCAGCAAUUUUCUACUUAGAACAUGUAUCCUGAAGUACAAGGUUGCUAAGGUCGAAGUCGCUGGUUUGGGGGAAACCCUCAAAAUGCUUCUUCAGAACCCAUACCUUGGCAGUAACCAUCCUGUGCAACAAACACCACAGCCAAAGAGUGCUUGUCAGAAACCUCCAAAGAUGCUAGUCUGCUCAGAAGGGUUGUUUAGACUUUAUGAAUCCAAGCAGUAUCUUGAUAACAUACCAUUACACAAGACAGCCUCUCCUUCCAUCCUGUGGAAGUUUUACUGGAUCAAGACAAAAUCAGAAAAGCCCCCUCAUCGCCCAACUAACCCAGAGUUUCCUGUGACCUGCCCAACCUCCCUGCCUGCUGGCAGCAAGCCCUGGUGUGGGAAGUCAGCCCCAGCAAGAUGUACAGCUCCCAUUCUAACAAAAUUGAAGAGGAAAAAUCUAGUUUAAGGAGGAAAAAAAAAUCCUGUAAGGAAGAAAAAUAAAACACUUAAACUUACUUUUUCCCCACUCAAAUGGGAUGAGUACUGAAUCUAAACUUUUACAAGCUUGAAUCAAAGUGCAAGUGAGAAAUGCAAAGGGCACCAAGUUAUCCAAGAAUAAAGGUGAAAACUGGGAUCCCAUAGUAGAUACUAGCAACUGGAAAGGAAGGUCAGGUAUAAAAGAGAGGGCAGAGAAGUCUGAAAAAUUGAGGGAAUCUGACUGGAAGCUGACAAACUGGUAGUGAUACCUGAAAUCUUGGAAUCUUCACAUUGAAGCAGAAGAGUAUCAAAGCUCUCAAAGAAGCGUGAGUCAAAAUAGCAAAGUUCACUUUCUGUAACUAACCCCAACUAACAUUUGUAACUUGUGUGGCAUGGUGUCCUAGCCUGGGUUUGACCAAAUCUAACCUUGAGGACAAAAUAGUCUCAGAAGUCUGUCAGUUAAAAAUAAGUUUAAUUCAAAUUUGGGGUUAGCUUAACAGUUCAUCCUGCUGACAGUCACAAUUAAUUUGAAGAUAUGGCUGUGGUACUUGUUUCCUUUUACCUCCAUCCUGAAGCAGGAACAGCUAUGCUCCCAGCUGCACUGGAAGAAAAGGGUAUGAUCAAAAAGACGACUAAAAU
This is a long non-coding RNA of Pezoporus flaviventris, 2303 nucleotides long. RefSeq lists it as uncharacterized. Lineage: Eukaryota; Metazoa; Chordata; Aves; Psittaciformes; Psittacidae. The transcript has 3 exons. The record is from RefSeq and is a predicted model, not a curated record.